This 612-nucleotide ribosomal RNA is filed under the name uncultured bacterium. RNAcentral's name for it is "bacterial SSU rRNA". The stretch from base 1 to 519 matches the Rfam family "Bacterial small subunit ribosomal RNA", at positions 338 to 873 of the family's 1533-position model. The record is from RNAcentral.
CCUACGGGAGGCAGCAGUGGGGAAUCUUGCGCAAUGGGCGAAAGCCUGACGCAGCCAUGCCGCGUGAAUGAUGAAGGUCUUAGGAUUGUAAAAUUCUUUCACCGGGGACGAUAAUGACGGUACCCGGAGAAGAAGCCCCGGCUAACUUCGUGCCAGCAGCCGCGGUAAUACGAAGGGGGCUAGCGUUGCUCGGAAUUACUGGGCGUAAAGGGAGCGUAGGCGGAUAGUUUAGUCAGAGGUGAAAGCCCAGGGCUCAACCUUGGAAUUGCCUUUGAUACUGGCUAUCUUGAGUACGGAAGAGGUAUGUGGAACUCCGAGUGUAGAGGUGAAAUUCGUAGAUAUUCGGAAGAACACCAGUGGCGAAGGCGACAUACUGGUCCGUUACUGACGCUGAGGCUCGAAAGCGUGGGGAGCAAACAGGAUUAGAUACCCUGGUAGUCCACGCUGUAAACGAUGAGUGCUAGUUGUCGGCAUGNANGCAUGUCGGUGACGCAGACUACGACAUAAGUACACUCCGCCGUCGGGAGGUACGGUCGGCGAGAAGUAAACGUAACGUUAAAGAAAGUUAGUUACGGCGUGAGACGNGCCGACGGACGACGACGAGGGAGGAGG